UUUGGUCAAACAUUAUUCUUGAUGUCUCUGCAAGACUGUUUUGGGGGUGAAAUUAACAGGCAAGUUGGUGAGCUUUGGUGAAGCAAACAACCUUACAUGAUGUGAGUGGUCCUUGUGCCCAGUUGAAGCCAGCCCCAUCCUGAAUGCCCAGCGGUGCCCACAGCCAGGAGGAGCAUUCGAUGUGUGAUGACUCAUCUCGUGCAUCAGACGCUCUCUAAAGUUCCCACAGAUUAUACCAUGGCUUAGUGAGUGCGAUUCUAAGACAGUUCCAAAAGACUUUUCAAUCCGUGGGAGUUUCAAAGUGGAUUCUCAGACAAACAUGGGGAGGACUGAGGCAGGCUUGGACACGCACAGAAUCAGACAACGAUGGGCUGAGGAAGUGGCUCAGCGGUUAAGAGCACUGUCUGCUCUUCCAAAGGUCCGGAGUUCAAAUCCCUGCAACCACAUGGUGGCUCACAACCAACUGUAAUGAGAUCUGGCGCCCUCUUCUGGAGUGUCUGAAGACAGAUACAGUGUACUUACAUAUAGUAAAUAAAUAAAUCUUAAAAAAAAAAAAAA
This 558-nucleotide long non-coding RNA is filed under the name Mus musculus (house mouse). Its description in RNAcentral is "cDNA sequence BC023486". The record is from RNAcentral. Lineage: Eukaryota; Metazoa; Chordata; Mammalia; Rodentia; Muridae.